ACCUGACUGGCUCAGUGGGUGGAGCAUGAGAUUCUGGGUUUUUGGGCUUGUGGGUUCGAGUCCCAGGUUGGGUG
This 74-nucleotide transfer RNA is filed under the name Ailuropoda melanoleuca (giant panda). It matches the Rfam family "tRNA". From Rfam's summary of the family: Transfer RNA (tRNA) molecules are approximately 80 nucleotides in length. Their secondary structure includes four short double-helical elements and three loops (D, anti-codon, and T loops). Lineage: Eukaryota; Metazoa; Chordata; Mammalia; Carnivora; Ursidae. The record is from Rfam by way of RNAcentral.